UGCGAACUCCUACGGGAGGCAGCAGUGGGGAAUUUUGGACAAUGGGGGCAACCCUGAUCCAGCAAUGCCGCGUGAGUGAAGAGGCCCUAGGGUUGUAAAGCUCUUUCACCGGUGAAGAUAAUGACGGUAACCGGAGAAGAAGCCCCGGCUAACUUCGUGCCAGCAGCCGCGGUAAUACGAAGGGGGCUAGCGUUGUUCGGAUUUACUGGGCGUAAAGCGCACGUAGGCGGACUUUUAAGUCAGGGGUGAAAUCCCGGGGCUCAACCCCGGAACUGCCUUUGAUACUGGAAGUCUUGAGUAUGGAAGAGGUAAGUGGAAUUGCGAGUGUAGAGGUGAAAUUCGUAGAUAUUCGCAGGAACACCAGUGGCGAAGGCGGCUUACUGGUCCAUUACUGACGCUGAGGUGCGAAAGCGUGGGGAGCAAACAGGAUUAGAAACCCUAGUAGUCCAGAUG
This 453-nucleotide ribosomal RNA is filed under the name uncultured bacterium. Its description in RNAcentral is "bacterial SSU rRNA". It matches the Rfam family "Bacterial small subunit ribosomal RNA", at positions 330 to 801 of the family's 1533-position model. The record is from RNAcentral.